This 274-nucleotide ribosomal RNA is filed under the name uncultured bacterium. Its description in RNAcentral is "partial 16S ribosomal RNA". It matches the Rfam family "Bacterial small subunit ribosomal RNA", at positions 79 to 353 of the family's 1533-position model. The record is from RNAcentral.
CUAAGUUUGAUGGCGACCGGCGCACGGGUGAGUAACACGUAUCCAACCUGCCGAUGACUCGGGGAUAGCCUUUCGAAAGAAAGAUUAAUACCCGAUGGCAUAGUUCUUCCGCAUGGUAGAACUAUUAAAGGAUUUCGGUCAUCGAUGGGGAUGCGUUCCAUUAGGUUGUUGGCGGGGUAACGGCCCACCAAGCCUUCGAUGGAUAGGGGUUCUGAGAGGAAGGUCCCCCACAUUGGAACUGAGACACGGUCCAACUCCUACGGGAGGCAGCAUG